Molecule: long non-coding RNA, 3006 nt
Organism: Canis lupus familiaris (dog)
Lineage: Eukaryota; Metazoa; Chordata; Mammalia; Carnivora; Canidae
Exons: 5
Source: RefSeq, a predicted model, not a curated record
GAUAUGCCCUGGUGAUGCUGGCCAGCAGCAGGGAGAUGCAGCUCUGUGUUGGUCACACAGUCACGAGGACACCUGCAUCUUCUGGGGCAGUGCCAGCUGCAUCCAUCCUGGAGACACAAUGAUGAAGUUCAGAGGGUGUCCAGUGAUCCUGACCCUGCUUAAGUGUGUCCCUUAUUCCUCCCAGCUCUCCUAGAUCAUGUUCCACCUCUGGCACCUGACCAGGGAAGGACAGAGACUGAGGUUUCUUGAGGACACAGAUUAUGUCUUAGUCAUCCUGAAUCUCCAUUGCCUAGCACUAUACUUGUUCCCUCCUACUUUAAGAACAAAGAAGUGGAAAGAGGUCAUGCCAAGAGAAAGGAAAAUACCUGGUUCUUGACAGGAGUAACAUAUCCUUUCUUUCGAUAAUCAACGGAGUCUGGGGCUCUGCUUUCCCAGUCUGGGAUAUAGAGAGUAUCAUUACUGCGGGAGUGAGAGGGGGGUACUUUGAGUCCAGUCAUCUUCUGAACCACCUCUUCACUGGUCUGGGACAAAAAACAAAAAGGCAAGGCAUAAGCAGAGAACUAAGGCAAACAGGGCAAGUAGGCCAGGAGCUGAGGUUCAACUCACCAUGUCACCCAAGUGGUUCAUGGCCAGUUCAUAUGUAUGGACACCAAGAGAGGCUUCAAGAUUAUGGAUAGAAAUAUGCUUCAAGUUUUUUUCCCAAAUUAAACGCCGAGAGAGUUCAUCCACCUAAACAGAGAAUAGUCAGUACUGGUGGACUGUGUCCUGUGUACAAAGUUACAUAAGUAACACUGUGGAGAUUUUUAGAAAAAAAGAUGAAACAAUCAUGCAGGGUUUAUAGUCUAGUUGGAGAACUGGCCACAGUAUUAUUGAGAGCAUACAGAAAGAAAUACACAAAUACAAAAAUAGAAUCCCAAGCUCUGGAGAGACGUAUAGAAAAUUGCUCAUGGAUGAAUAACAUUAAUCUGAGAAGUCUUCCCCAAAGAGAAGUAUGACAGUUAUAAAGAAAAGGCUUGAACUUGAGGGAGGGUGAGUCAAAGAGUAGGAAUGAAACUGCAUGUUGAGUUAGAGAACCGGGGCAGGUUUGCUUGGCUGGACUGAUUAAGGUAUCGGGAUUGAAGAAGGGAGUCUGGAAGCUAAAGGCUGGAGGUCUCAAGUUCCCCGACCAUGCUCCCCACCCAGUCCCCAGGCACCUUGCUAUUAUACUGCUUCCUGUAGGUCUUCUUCCAAAGGUCCCAUUGGGUGUCCAGUAUCUCCUCAGGAUAUAGAGCAAAGCUUGCCAUGGGCAGCAGCAGUAGAACCUCAAGCCCCCACAUCCUGGGGAAGGAGAUAAUUAGGGGAGAGUCUUCUGUUUGCCAAAGGGUUCAUAGACUGGCUUGGGAUGAGGAAAUAGCUGAAGUCUUAUUCCCAAACAGGUGGUUCUUAACUUUUGGGAGUCAUAGACUCCUUUGAGAAGCUAGUAAAAUUUUGUAAUCCAUUACAGUUCCACUCACCUGAAAAAUGCAUGCACACACAAUAGUUCUGGGGAUUUCAUGAACCCAAAGCACCCCUUCCUUGGGACCACAAGGCAAAUUAAAACAAGGAUUUAUAAGGAAGGAAUACAAAGAAUUGAGCAUGAUUUGCAUAUAAAACAAUGAUAGGAAGGAUCUGGGUUUGGAUUGGGUGCUGAUACAUCUGGUUCUACGUAUUUUGACCUAGGGAGAUUCAACACACACAAAUACACCCCACACUUGCACAGAAAACCAGAAAUGGGGUAGAAAAUGGACAAUCAGAAUGGAAUCAGCACCUGUCUCCUGUGCAGACUUGGAAGUUGGAGGGGGGUAGGAGAAUACAGGAGAGAUCUCCAGCUAAGUUUUGUUCCCUGACCAUUUCUUUAAGGUAUUAUUUACCCCCUUGCCCCAAAUUCUGAUACUUUCCCAGAUCUCGCCAGAAGAGGAUGGAGAAAAGUUGACAGUAUUUCUUACUUUCUAAUGUUUAUGGUCUCCUUAGUAUUAUGCAUCUCUUCCUCCCUUCUCUUCCUGCUCCCUCAGGCAGGAAACUGCCCCUAAUCUCAACCAGAUGAUGUUGGCAGCAAAGUUUUUCUUUCUUUUCCUGACAACAAAAAACCUCUGUGACUGCCUCACAGGAUGAAAAGCUUCAGAACCAAAGCUUGUUAGAAGAAUGCAAGACAAAAACAGCAGUCUUCUAUGAUCAUUAAAUUCACGGCUUUUCAGUUUACUCUAGCUUCACUCAUUUAAGGUGGCUUGCUUAAUUCCAUGUUCUCCAUUUUAAGAACAAUUUAUAGUCUGAAGCAAGUCAUACAGCUUGCAUCAUUUUUAAAUUUACAGUCCUAUUUUUGUGUAAUCUUUGCAGACUGGCAAAACAUUCAAUAAGACAUUUCAUAUCUGGAAUGUUAAGGGCUUUGAGACAGAAUAGAAAAGCACCUCUGGGCACCAGUCCUUCUCCCUGCUAGUAAAUUAACCCUUUUGGUACCUUUGGCCAAAACAGAAAACCCUACCGGGGGAGGCCACUCUUUAAGGGAACCAAGGGAUUCCCUGUAUCUCUACUAUAUCUCUAGCUUUCACUAACAACUAUGUAUACAAACAUAUAAAUCGUAGAAGGAAUCCUAAAGAUUUCCAGGCAAAUUUUAUUUGGCCAGGAAAUGACCUGUUUUUACCCACACAACCUACAAAUCUUAACUAGAUGCCCAAGUCACGACAUCCCUUAUAUCCCUAAAAUGGAGAAAGGAAGAAAUGAGAAGCUAAAAGAUCUAGCAAGUAGAAAAUGUUACCUGCUGACAGGAUCUGUGCUCUGGGUUCCGUUUGCUGGGGAGUGUGGAUAAUGUGGGCGGAUGACUAGGGGUACUGGAUUUAUUCCAUCAGGAUUGCGGAAGUCAGUUUCAGCUGUGGGCUGGAAAUUUUGAAUAGGAAAGGGAGGCGGGGAAAGAAAUGCUGAGAGAAGCGGGGUUGGAGAGGGAAAGCAGCAGUGGAUUUGCAAUGCUUCUGUGUGUGUGUGUGUGUGUGUGUG